This is a non-coding RNA of Myotis lucifugus (little brown bat), 74 nucleotides long. Lineage: Eukaryota; Metazoa; Chordata; Mammalia; Chiroptera; Vespertilionidae. The record is from Rfam.
GCUGGUGUUGCCCAGUGGUUAGAGUAUUGGUCCACUCACCGAAGGGUCACAGGUUCAAUUCCUGAUCAAGAGCA